UACGGGGGGAGCAAGCGUUGUUCGGAUUUACUGGGCGUAAAGGGCGCGUAGGCGGUCAGCACAAGUCAGUUGUGAAAUCUCCGGGCUUAACUCGGAAAGGUCAACUGAUACUGUGCGACUAGAGUGCAGAAGGGGCAACUGGAAUUCUCGGUGUAGCGGUGAAAUGCGUAGAUAUCGAGAGGAACACCUGCGGCGAAGGCGGCUUCUUGGGCCUUUACUGACGCUGAGGCGCGAAAGCCAGGGGAGCGAACGGG
Molecule: ribosomal RNA, 254 nt
Filed under: uncultured bacterium
Lineage: Bacteria
Description: partial 16S ribosomal RNA
Rfam family: Bacterial small subunit ribosomal RNA
Source: RNAcentral